GCAAGUCGAACGAGAAGCUUCUUUCGGGAAGUGGAGAGUGGCGCACGGGUGAGUAACGCGUGGGAUUUUGCCUCUUGGUACGGGAUAACGUUUGGAAACGAACGCUAAUACCGUAUGUGAUCUACGGAUUAAAGAUUUAUCGCCAAGAGAUGAGCCCGCGUAGGAUUAGAUAGUUGGUGGGGUAAAGGCCUACCAAGUCUACGAUCUUUAGCUGGUCUGAGAGGACGAUC
Molecule: ribosomal RNA, 230 nt
Filed under: uncultured bacterium
Lineage: Bacteria
Description: partial 16S ribosomal RNA
Rfam family: Bacterial small subunit ribosomal RNA
Source: RNAcentral